AAAUUGAAGAGUUUGAUCAUGGCUCAGAUUGAACGCUGGCGGCAGGCCUAACACAUGCAAGUCGAACGGUAACAGGAAGCAGCUUGCUGUUUCGCUGACGAGUGGCGGACGGGUGAGUAAUGUCUGGGAAACUGCCUGAUGGAGGGGGAUAACUACUGGAAACGGUGGCUAAUACCGCAUAACGUCGCAAGACCAAAGAGGGGGACCUUCGGGCCUCUUGCCAUCAGAUGUGCCCAGAUGGGAUUAGCUUGUUGGUGAGGUAACGGCUCACCAAGGCGACGAUCCCUAGCUGGUCUGAGAGGAUGACCAGCCACACUGGAACUGAGACACGGUCCAGACUCCUACGGGAGGCAGCAGUGGGGAAUAUUGCACAAUGGGCGCAAGCCUGAUGCAGCCAUGCCGCGUGUAUGAAGAAGGCCUUCGGGUUGUAAAGUACUUUCAGCGGGGAGGAAGGUGUUGUGGUUAAUAACCGCAGCAAUUGACGUUACCCGCAGAA
RNAcentral lists this ribosomal RNA (496 nucleotides) under Salmonella enterica. Its description in RNAcentral is "bacterial SSU rRNA". It matches the Rfam family "Bacterial small subunit ribosomal RNA", at positions 1 to 486 of the family's 1533-position model. Lineage: Bacteria; Pseudomonadati; Pseudomonadota; Gammaproteobacteria; Enterobacterales; Enterobacteriaceae. The record is from RNAcentral.